GCCCCCGUGGCGGAACUGGUAGACGCGUCGGAUUCAAAAUCCGAUUUCUUCGGAAGUGCCAGUUCGAGUCUGGCCGGGGGCA
This 82-nucleotide transfer RNA is filed under the name Pseudovibrio axinellae. RNAcentral's name for it is "Pseudovibrio sp. Ad2 tRNA". It matches the Rfam family "tRNA". Rfam says of the family: Transfer RNA (tRNA) molecules are approximately 80 nucleotides in length. Their secondary structure includes four short double-helical elements and three loops (D, anti-codon, and T loops). Lineage: Bacteria; Pseudomonadati; Pseudomonadota; Alphaproteobacteria; Hyphomicrobiales; Stappiaceae. The record is from Rfam by way of RNAcentral.